AUGGAACUCCAUUUUGAAAAUGAUGAGAACCAGAAAUGUGAUCACAUGGUGAUGUCAUUCACAAUACUUCUGACAUCUAUAUUUUCAGAAGGGUGCCCCUUUCAUGAGACCCACACCCCCAUCCUCACUAAGCUGUGGCCACUACCGACGCAUCCUGUCCCUCAACAGACAGCGUGUUCUGACAGCCCACUGUACUACGAAAGACCUCACGGUCACUGCAGUGACUGGAGGCAGCAGCCUGGAUCCUGCAGGCAAGCUAAGACUAAACAUGUCUUUUUUCGUUCUUCCCUUGAAUAUUCACUUGAAAAUAUAAUGAUUUUAUUUUUUAUCAUAACUAUGAUUAGUCUGGACGUGACUGGAUAGGAAAUGCCAACUUUUCCUGGGAAGGAAAUUAGGAUUCUUUGCCACUUUUAGAGAUUUUGGAAAUUGAGGCAAGUAAGGAAUCAAAGAACAAGUUUUAUUUCCAGUUUAAGGACCAAAUUCUUUACUGUGAAGUAUCAAAUCCAGUAAUAAGUUAAUACUAUAUUAAUCCAUAUAAGAAGUCUUAUACGGUCUGGAAGUUCACCUCUUAAAGAAAAAUCAUUGCCUCAGAAGAAUAUACUCAAGACAGCACAUACUAAACAUGCACCUCAGUCAUUAGUUUCUCGGGCUUUUGUAGUCAUUAAGUCAAUCACAGAAAUAUAAGUAAAAGCUGCUUUAAAAAAAAGCACAUUCAGAAUUAUGAGUUUGUUAUUAGUAGAGGUAUAUAAAACAUGGACAACUGGUUUUGCAGAAAGCUAAAAAAAGAUAUCCAAAAUCAACCUGUCAUAUUAUUUAGCUCACAACUCAAAUCAUUCUCCAAACUCAACAAAGAGCACACACACACGUGUUUUAAUUUCUAGAUUGUACACUGUUUCCUUUAGAUUCAGAAAAGAUCACAAAAGCAAACCAGUGAAAGCUCUUUCUGUCUAGUGUCAAGGCUAUAAAUUGUUAACAAACAUUGUUUAUUAAGAAUAAAGAGUAAUUGUUUUCCAGAAUUUGCAGGUGCCAAGGAAUCAUGGCAACAAAAUUGAAGAAUAACAAAGUAUUACAGGAAAAAAAAAGUAAAAUAUAAUGCUUUGGAAAAAAAUGUAGAAUAAAUUACAUUUUAAACCAGAAUAACUGACAAGCUUACAAGAAUCAUCUGGGCUGCUGUUUGGAGCGGCUUUUAAAACGUACAGCAAGCAAAAGCAGGGAGACAGCAGAGAGCAAGGAAGGGUGCUGAUCGAGGUCUGAGACACGGGGAACUACCUUCUUUUCUCUGGGCUUCAGUAUUCUCAUCAAUAACACUGGGGCAGAUAAUCUUUCUUGAAUCUUAAAAAUCCCAAAUCUCAAGAUUCCUUCUGAUCAUGAACAACAUUCUGAAGAAAGCAUACUCUCCUUGGAUUGAGAAUUAUUCCUAUGAUCACAACUAGGCUUUUCCUAUCCUGUUCAUCAGCUGACACACUCCUGAAACAAGGAAGCAUCCUCACCAGACAACAGCACCGCUAUAAAAAUGUUCAGGCAUUUAGGAGGUUGUUUUAACGCCUAAUAAUCACAUGAAAUGUGACAGAGACACUGACACAAGCUGUUAACAAGUCCAAGUCAAAGAAGUGUUUCUGAUCUCUUUUGUGAUUGGAAACGUGGAAAAAUCCUUUGCUUUUUGUCAAACGUUUCCCCUCACAAAAGGUACAUGGCACUUGAUUCCUCCGUACUUUAGAUGCUGGGAUUAGUAGGGUUCCUGCAAUCCGAGGGCACUUGGGGGUUGACACCCUGUGGUAAAUCUGGAAUCAACAGCCUGACAGAUGUGCUCCUGAGCUGCACACACUCCUCCAGAUUCACCUUUUUUGUUCUGUGUUUAACACUGGGCACCAUAUUCUCUGUGAAGGGUGUAAUAACUUCCACAAGAUGGCUAAAUUUUUUCUUAAAUUACUAAAAUUUAUGGCUUUCACAUUAGUAAACAAUCUGCAGUUUUUUCACUGAUGUCAAAGACGAAAGAUUAUAUAUACAGCAAUGAGCAUUAUUCUGGUAAUAAUGCCUAAAAUUUAUUAGUUCCAUUCUCUUCAUAUUGUAUACUGCCAAAUGUUUGACUAAGAAAUAAAUGCGAUCUGAUACCACCCACAGCUCAGAGACUAACAUAUGGCAGUCUCAGGCUGGUGUGGUUACUGAUGCUCUGGUUCUUUACUUCUAUCCCUGCAGGUGAACUGAUGAGAAACCAGUGUCCCUAGGCCACACUGAGAUGUGCCUUCACUGGGUUAGUAUUUACCAUUAAGGCCUCUCUGUGUAUUUUUCAUUUUCUUUAAAUUACAAGGAAAUGUCAUUCACUAUUAAGACCCUCCUUUCUUUAGUUUAAGAGAAAACUAGCCUCUUGCAGGUAAGUUUGAAUUUUCUACUAUGAAAAACAAAAACUGCUUUAGAAGCAGGAAAAUUUAGAAACAAUUUUUUUGUCCAAGCUUUACUUUCUUAGUGGUCUGAAACCAUGUACUUCUGUGCUGUUUUAAUGUUAAAUGUCUUCUUUGACAGCUUUGUAUUUUGUAGGCCCCUUCAUGCCCUUUGAAGAGAGUAGGACACAAAUUUCAAAAAUAAAAAUACAAGUGCUACUUAAGCAUAUUGUAUUAUUUACUACUAUAGAUGUUAGAGAUGUAUUUGUUUUCUUAAUGAAUAUAAUUUUACAUAGGAAAUGUGAUAAUUUCCCUUUCACUAAGAAUGAGAUCACAGUUGUUUUACUAAAUGUUGUCUGGCAUGUUAUCUACUAAAACGCCUAUUCAACAAAACUACUGAAAGGAUUUAACUAUCUAAUCUGGCUCUGGUUCAUUAGUUCACUGAAUACUACAUUCAUUAAGUCUUUACCUUCCCAAGUUGUAUUUUUAAAAUUGGAAAUUAUACUGAGUUUUAAAAAAACUUAAGACAAUACUAUGUGUAAGUUUUCCUAUCUUCUGGAUAGUAUAUACUUAUUAAAAAAAUGUGAUAUAAUAAGCAUUUUGAAGGAGUAUUUUAUAUAUAUAUAUAUCAUAUUUAAGGUCACAGUUUUCAUUAAUCUGAGAAAAUGUAAAGAUGUGAUAUUUUUAAAAAGUCAACGAAAUCUAGUGAAACUUUAAUUUCUCAUUUCAUGGAAAAUUUAACUACACAAAAUAUCAAACAUGAGAAUUUAUCUUUUAAAUGUCAUGCCUGUAUUAGUCAUAAUUCAAUAAAUGGAUUCCUUUCCACAUAUAUCUUAAGAUCCUAAAUCUCAGUGCUAUAAAUAAUAUGAUUGAAGAAUCUUGUAACAAUGUAUAUUUUAAUUAUCAGAUUUGUGUAGUGAUUUAGAUCAACAGAUACCAGUGAAAAAUUUAUCAUAAACUAAGUGCAAUAACAAGAGGAAACAAAAGCUUAUGUACACAUUACCAAGAUUUUUACAAUAAAUUAUAGUGUGCAGUUCCAUCACAGCAUAUUUGUAUACAAAGCCGCUACUGUGAACACUGAAAAGAAAUCUGUCGUGGAGGUCUUUAACCUUGAUUUAAUAAAGUUUGUACAGUAUCAAAUAAUAUCAAAAGUCUAAAAAAACACAAUGAUUUUUGUAUAUCAUGUUUAUAAAUUAUUGUUUAUAUACCAUAAGAAAAAUAAGGUCAAAAGUGCAGUUUAAAAAAAAGUGGAAAUUGUUAUUCUUGGUAAGAACUAGAAAAAUGUAUUGUCCCAAGUAAGAAGCAAUCUAAAGGCUUAAACAGUUGCUUAGGCAUUUUCCUUUAACUCUCAUACAACCUUGGUUACCAUAUGCUAUAGGACAAACCAGUACAAAGGGAGUAAAAUAACUUUUUAUAAAAAUAGGAAACACAGAUCUAGUAAUGAGUAACACUGGAAAUAAAUAUGAUAGGCCGCCCCCAAAAUGAAUUAAAUGACUUUUUACUCACGGGAAAAAAUGGGCUAUCACUGAAUGUGAUAAAACCUGGGAAAUUUCAAAAAAUUUUAAUUAAGUUUUUAGUUGUAACUGGCAAUGGUGCAUACAUCCCAGGAUUAUGAAACUUUCUAGUAUAAUAUAACCAAAACAAAAUAUGACUUAAAGGUGCUAAACCAUAUCACAGAAAAUAAAGGUUAAGGAUCCAGUAAUUAAAAGGCAGCAGUAUGGAAAUUACUCAAGAAACAGAUGGAUGAAACAUAAUUCUGUGUCUUAACUGGCACUUACAACAGUAACUAGUUAUAUUUUGACAAAUUCUAGAACAAAUGCCUAUACUGAAAUACAUGUGAAACAUUAACCAUUUAUAUAAGAAACUGAAACGGCAACAUUACUGGCUUCUAAAACAAAUUAAAUUUAGAGAAAAGAAAAAGUAAAAGGAAUGUGAAGAAAAAUCUUAUGUUUAAACUUAUUGUGGGAUCAAAAUUUUGACAGAGCUGAAUCAAUCAAGAACCGUCUUCCUGCUGCGAACACCAGCAGGCGGCUGAGCCUGGCGCAGCACCACGGCUCCCCUCUCCAGAUGCUACUAUGUAACUGGAGCUUUGUUUGUAGGACACUGAGCAAGAGAUGCUUAUUUUUUGUUUUUUACUGCAUGGACCAAGUUUCUUGGUUGGGUUAACAUAUAGACUGCCUGAGAUAAUGAAAACUUCACCAUUACAUUACUGCAAAAUGAAGGUCUUUCUAGUUCUGCCAGGAGAAAAGGGUUGGCUGUUGAAAAGAACAUGGAUGCUCUGUAGGCUGCAUACGUACAUACUUAAUAAUUA
Molecule: long non-coding RNA, 4689 nt
Filed under: Bos grunniens (domestic yak)
Lineage: Eukaryota; Metazoa; Chordata; Mammalia; Artiodactyla; Bovidae
Description: lncRNA (ENSBGRG00000017790.1)
Source: RNAcentral